RNAcentral lists this ribosomal RNA (460 nucleotides) under uncultured bacterium. Its description in RNAcentral is "partial 16S ribosomal RNA". It matches the Rfam family "Bacterial small subunit ribosomal RNA", at positions 338 to 795 of the family's 1533-position model. The record is from RNAcentral.
CCUACGGGUGGCUGCAGUGAGGAAUAUUGGUCAAUGGACGAGAGUCUGAACCAGCCAAGUAGCGUGAAGGAUGACUGCCCUAUGGGUUGUAAACUUCUUUUAUAUGGGAAUAAAAUGUUCCACGUGUGGGAUUUUGUAUGUACCAUAUGAAUAAGGAUCGGCUAACUCCGUGCCAGCAGCCGCGGUAAUACGGAGGAUCCGAGCGUUAUCCGGAUUUAUUGGGUUUAAAGGGAGCGUAGGUGGAUUGUUAAGUCAGUUGUGAAAGUUUGCGGCUCAACCGUGAAAUUGCAGUUGAAACUGGCAGUCUUGAGUACAGUAGAGGUGGGCGGAAUUCGUGGUGUAGCGGUGAAAUGCUUAGAUAUCACGAAGAACUCCGAUUGCGAAGGCAGUUCACUGGACUGCAACUGACGCUGAGGCUCGAAAGUGUGGGUAUCAAACAGGAUUAGAUACCCUAGUAGUC